UGAUGAGGCAACGCUCCACUGUGAGGUGAAACAUCUGCUAAAAGGUUGUGAAGUGAAGUGGAAAAGCCCAAAUGCUGAUUCACCUGAAUGGCCAUCAACAGUUCAACUCAAAUCUGUAACAAGCUCACAUAAUGGGACCUGGGAGUGUAUCAUCACCUGUGAUGGCAAACAACUGAAGCCUCCAACUUCAACAACUCCACCAUCCACCCGAAAGAACAUCACAUUAUUUGUAACGAGUGUUCAGAAGACAACAUGUACAACAUGUACUGCCAACGAUUGCCCACUGGGACUCUCCUGUUGGAUGUGGAUUGCAAUGGGGGUGUGCUGCCAGUUUGGGAUGUUCCUGAUAGUUUGUGUCACUGUCUUGUGUAAGUGCAUGAGUAGAAGGAUGGUAUGUGAGGAAAGGCGUCCAUCAAGUAUUUAUGUAUAGUGUUGAUAGCUGUGGUUACAGAUUAUGUUGGUCUAACCUCUUCGCCGAAUGUGUAACUGAUCAGAUUCAUAGUUUCACUACACCAAGCUCUUACAAAGUCCUGGACAUUUCACAACUGGCAAAAGUCUAAUUAAGUGUCUCGGAUUAUCUAUUACACUCUUCAGUAAAUCAGUAGAUGUACCAUUUACCAUUUACCACUGAGAUGAGAAGGCCUGGUUUGCAGUCUCCGCUCUAAUUCAUCCUAAAGAUGUUCUGUUCAAAAGUUCUUCCUCACCACAGUCGC
Non-coding RNA from Neolamprologus brichardi, 713 nucleotides. NCBI's taxonomy places the organism in Eukaryota, Metazoa, Chordata, Actinopteri, Cichliformes, Cichlidae. The record is from RefSeq and is a predicted model, not a curated record.